RNAcentral lists this ribosomal RNA (254 nucleotides) under uncultured bacterium. RNAcentral describes it as "partial 16S ribosomal RNA". It matches the Rfam family "Bacterial small subunit ribosomal RNA", at positions 524 to 776 of the family's 1533-position model. The record is from RNAcentral.
GCCGGAGGGCGCAAUCGUUGUUCGGAAUUACUGGGCGUAAAGCGCGGGCAGGUGGUCUGUUAAGUCGUUUGUGAAAAUCCGGGGCUCAACCCCGUGAAAUGCGUACGAUACUGGCAGGCUGGAGAUCGGUAGAGGCUAGCGGAAUUCCUGGUGUAGCGGUGGAAUGCGUAGAUAUCAGGAAGAACACCUGUGGCGAAGGCGGCUAGCUGGGCCGAGUCUGACACUCAUCCGCGAAAGCGUGGGGAGAAAACAGG